RNAcentral lists this ribosomal RNA (351 nucleotides) under Methanobacterium veterum. Its description in RNAcentral is "partial 23S ribosomal RNA". It matches the Rfam family "Archaeal large subunit ribosomal RNA", at positions 277 to 627 of the family's 2987-position model. Lineage: Archaea; Methanobacteriati; Methanobacteriota; Methanobacteria; Methanobacteriales; Methanobacteriaceae. The record is from RNAcentral.
UGGGAGAUGUGGUGUAGUAAGGCUCGGUUUAUGGUCCGGUUUGGUGAAGUUGAAUUGAACUGGAAUGUUCAGCCGUAGAGGGUGAAAGCCCCGUAAAUGUAAACUGAUUUGGAUUGGAUUGAGUUCUUGAGUAGCGUCGAUUGGAAAUUCGGCGUGAAUUUGGGAGGCAUCGACUCCUAAUUCUAAAUACGUCUCAAGACCGAUAGUGUACUAGUACCGUGAGGGAAAGUUGAAAAGAACCCCUAAUGGGGGGUGAAAAGAACCUGAAACCAGAUGGUGACAGCCAGGCACGGCAUGGAAGGAAUGAAGUUCUUCGAAAGAAACUGUGGUAACAUGGGAUUAUGAGUUGAA